UCAAAUUAGUUGACUCCAUGUGUCCAGACUGAGGACUGAAGACUCUGGUCUGUAUCGGUGUGAAGUGGAGUUUGAUCGUCGCUAUGGCUCUAAAACGUGUCGCCUGAACAUAACUGCAGCUGCUGAUCAGAUCCAAACUCAGAGACCAACUUUGACUCCAGAACCAGAGAGACGAGGAAGGACCUUCAUCUUCAUCCCACUGGGACUGACAGCAGCUCUGAUGGUUCUGAUCAUGUUGAGGAUUUGGUUCAGAGA
This is a long non-coding RNA of Cyprinodon tularosa, 255 nucleotides long. RefSeq lists it as uncharacterized. The transcript is spliced from 2 exons. The record is from RefSeq and is a predicted model, not a curated record. Lineage: Eukaryota; Metazoa; Chordata; Actinopteri; Cyprinodontiformes; Cyprinodontidae.